RNAcentral lists this ribosomal RNA (253 nucleotides) under uncultured bacterium. Its description in RNAcentral is "partial 16S ribosomal RNA". It matches the Rfam family "Bacterial small subunit ribosomal RNA", at positions 524 to 776 of the family's 1533-position model. The record is from RNAcentral.
UACGUAGGGGGCAAGCGUUGUCCGGAAUCAUUGGGCGUAAAGAGCGUGUAGGCGGUCCGGUAAGUCGGCUGUGAAAGUCCAGGGCUCAACCCUGGGAUGCCGGUCGAUACUGCCGGACUAGAGUUCGGAAGAGGCGAGUGGAAUUCCCGGUGUAGCGGUGAAAUGCGCAGAUAUCAGGAAGAACACCCGUGGCGAAAGCGGCUCUCUGGAACGGUACUGACGCUGAGACGCGAAAGCGUGGGGAGCGAACAGG